This 65-nucleotide transfer RNA is filed under the name Euparatettix variabilis. Its description in RNAcentral is "tRNA-Ala". It matches the Rfam family "tRNA". Rfam says of the family: Transfer RNA (tRNA) molecules are approximately 80 nucleotides in length. Their secondary structure includes four short double-helical elements and three loops (D, anti-codon, and T loops). Further hydrogen bonds mediate the characteristic L-shaped molecular structure. tRNAs have two regions of fundamental functional importance: the anti-codon, which is responsible for specific mRNA codon recognition, and the 3' end, to which the tRNAs corresponding amino acid is attached (by aminoacyl-tRNA synthetases). tRNAs cope with the degeneracy of the genetic code in two manners: having more than one tRNA (with a specific anti-codon) for a particular amino acid; and 'wobble' base-pairing, i.e. permitting non-standard base-pairing at the 3rd anti-codon position. Lineage: Eukaryota; Metazoa; Arthropoda; Insecta; Orthoptera; Tetrigidae. The record is from RNAcentral.
AGGGUGAUAGUUAAGCAUAACAUUUGAUUUGCAUUCAAAAAGUAUUGAUACGUCAAUUUACCUUU